RNAcentral lists this ribosomal RNA (525 nucleotides) under uncultured Glomus. RNAcentral describes it as "SSU rRNA". It matches the Rfam family "Eukaryotic small subunit ribosomal RNA", at positions 569 to 1092 of the family's 1831-position model. The record is from RNAcentral. Lineage: Eukaryota; Fungi; Glomeromycota; Glomeromycetes; Glomerales; Glomeraceae.
AGCAGCCGCGGUAAUUCCAGCUCCAAUAGCGUAUAUUAAAGUUGUUGCAGUUAAAAAGCUCGUAGUUGAAUUUCGGGAUCAAUUUUGUCAGUCGUGCCCUUUGGUACGUACUUGGUAUUAUUGGUUUCUAUCUUCUGAAGAACCUUGAUGUCAUUAAUUUGAUGUCUUGGGAAAUCAGGACUGUUACCUUGAAAAAAUUAGAGUGUUUAAAGCAGGCAUGCGCUUGAAUACAUUAGCAUGGAAUAAUGAAAUAGGACGUUCGAUUCUAUUUUGUUGGUUUCUAGGAUUGACGUAAUGAUUAAUAGGGAUAGUUGGGGGCAUUAGUAUUCAAUUGUCAGAGGUGAAAUUCUUGGAUUUAUUGAAGACUAACUACUGCGAAAGCAUUUGCCAAGGAUGUUUUCAUUAAUCAAGAACGAAAGUUAGGGGAUCGAAGACGAUCAGAUACCGUCGUAGUCUUAACCAUAAACUAUGUCGACUAGGGAUCGGAUGAUGUUAAUUUUUUAAUGACUCAUUCGGCGCCUUACG